AGUAAAAGUCGUAACAAGGUUUCCGUAGGUGAACCUGCGGAAGGAUCAUUAACGAUUGCUAUACAAGCAAAGACAAACUUUCACUGGAUUGAACGCUAAAACUCCUGACGAGUUCAGGAAGGAUAGUGCCUCUCACGGCCAUCGUGGUCGUUGCGCUCUGCGCUGCGAACGAUGUAAAACAAACAACCGUUGGCCUCUCAUACAGUAUUGUCUCUCGUCAUGGCAUACAGGCCUGGCAUCUGGUACGAGUCUCUCGCAGUCUCAAAACCAACCUUACAACUCUGAGCGGUGGAUCACUUGGCUUGUGGAUGCUAUGAAGACCAUAGCUAAGUGUGAGAAUGGCAGCGAGCCGUCGCUAUAUGCGCUGUCCUCUUCUUAUCACAUGUCGAAUGCACAUUGCGCCCCACCCAGCGGUCGGCUAAACAACCUGCAGACAAAAGCCUGUGAGUUGGAACAAAGGCUAAUGUGUGGCCCUCGAGCAACGGCGGGGGAGCCAGGAGCACAUGAGCGUGCGGACCAACUACUCGUGAGUAGUCAGGCCUGACCCUAUGGUGGGGCACUCCUAGUCGAGUGUGGUGGAUCGGACUCACAUCUCUUGUUGCGCGUUCGCGCGUGAUGGAGUUUGAGUUUCUUUGUUGCUGGUGGCAUUUGGGUCGACAUCAGUCGUGCCCGUAAACAACUGCCUUGGCUCGUGCCUCUGUGCGUGUACCUCUCGAAGGAGCGCACAUUGAAGGCCAUAGCUGGCGAUCACUCUUGCGGCCAGGGCACUACUUCGGUAGUGCGCACAGGUCCAAAAGGAAUUCGUAAUACGAGAAUCAGGUCUCAAAACUCUUGCUGGCUGGUUUCUGUGCACUAUCUGUAGAGUGAUGAUCACAUGGUAAUCGAGAGCUCUGCAUAACCGCUUUUCUGGUAAGGCCCCGUCCGAGCCCCACCUCUUUUAUAUGCACAUGCACAUACCAGACAGUGCCUCCCCUGACGAGAUCAGGAAGGAUGGUCUGGCAGUGUGAGUGUCAAAAGUAACAGAUUGGCCGGCAGUCUCGCAUCACAUCUCUCUGGGGUGUGGUGAUCAUGUUGAUUCUUGAGGUCCCUGCAUAACCGUCGCUCUGGUAAAGGCUCUUUCUCGUAGUAUUCGGGAAUGAAACGUGCUUUACCACUUUUGCUAGUACGCACAAGGACAAGGAAUGGGUACUGAACGCCUGACGAGAUCAGGUAUGAAAGUGCGGUAAAAGUAACAGAGCGGCCGGCAGUCUCGCAUCACUCAGCUUGUCCGACUUGGUUAACAUCUCAGAGUGAGACCUGAUUUCUUGUGUUUCGGUAAUUGCCACCACCUCGACUUAGGAGAGGUUACCCGCUGAACUUAAGCAUAUCAGUAAGCGGAGGAAAAGAAACCAAUCAGGGAUUCCCUUAGUAGGGGCGACCGAACAGGGAUGAGCCCAGCGCAGAACCUCCCGGGCCACCCGGCCUGCGGCGGAAUGUUGCGUUAAGGGAAAGGUCGUAGUCAAACCCUACAGCCACGCGAGCUCUAAGUAAGUCACGAAUUGGCUAUCCCAACUAACGGCGGGAAAAUCUCCACGGAGGGUGUAAGACCCGUGUGGGCGCGUGUAAAUGCUGUGUGGGCUCGGCCUCUUUUCCCUGAGAGUCGCGUUGCUUGAGCAUGCAGCGCUAAGCAGGUCGUAAACUCGAUCUAAGGCUAAAUAUGUCCACAAGACCGAUAGCGAACAAGUACCGUGAGGGAAAGUUGAAAAGCACUCUGAAGAGAG
RNAcentral lists this ribosomal RNA (1760 nucleotides) under Niphargus dalmatinus. Its description in RNAcentral is "eukaryotic LSU rRNA". The stretch from base 1325 to 1760 matches the Rfam family "Eukaryotic large subunit ribosomal RNA", at positions 1 to 385 of the family's 3401-position model. Lineage: Eukaryota; Metazoa; Arthropoda; Malacostraca; Amphipoda; Niphargidae. The record is from RNAcentral.